UAAAGCCAUCUCUUUCCACUAGGCCCCAAAGCUACAGAGGGUGAAGGCUAAGAUCAAAGGAGUGGUGUUCUUGGAAAAACCAGAAGCAGAACUCAUAGCAUCAACACAACUGACCACAAGAGCAACAGUGCAGCAGAAGAAUGGCCUCCCACAAUAAAUGGAAAUCCAUUCAGUGAAGACCAUCUCUAGAGAUUUCUGGGCCUUAAUAAAUAUCUAUAGAAUCAUGGGUGACUGCAGAGUCAUCCAUGAAUAUCUCUACAGUCACCCAAGAAAUUCUUAACAAAGGUAAAAUCAGGUCAGGAUGUGCCUCCAGAGCAGUUUUGAAUGAAGAAAAUUCAUCAGGAAGGGGCAACCUGCUGCCAAGGGGUGCGUGAGAGGCAGAGGGUCAAUCACAUUGGCCAGGGUAGCAAAUGGUGCUGAAUGAAGAUGACCAGCUGGGGAGGCCUUUCCUGUCCUCUCCACAGGGACUUUGUCCCUGAGUGCUCGUCAGUCACCAGCAAAACCCAAAGCUUGAAGCCAAUGUUUUGUCUUCAUGGAAGGAUAUGUACUGCCUGUUCUGUCAAGCUCUAAUCUCUUCAAACUUCAUUCCAGAAUCCUGAGAUUUUUUUCCUUGCCCUAUGACCUCAGAAACUAAUAGAAGAUUUUUCUGAAGCCAGGAAAUUAGACUCUGACCAUAAUUUGAUCAGAGGCAACACCCUCCCAGGGCUGGAUGAAGAUCUUUAAAAGUCUUGAGCAUUAAAGAGAUUAUGCUUCACAUCCCACA
This 763-nucleotide long non-coding RNA is filed under the name Homo sapiens (human). RNAcentral describes it as "HSALNT0119355". The record is from RNAcentral. Lineage: Eukaryota; Metazoa; Chordata; Mammalia; Primates; Hominidae.